Long non-coding RNA from Daphnia pulex (common water flea), 1027 nucleotides. RefSeq lists it as uncharacterized. The record is from RefSeq and is a predicted model, not a curated record. NCBI's taxonomy places the organism in Eukaryota, Metazoa, Arthropoda, Branchiopoda, Diplostraca, Daphniidae. The transcript has 2 exons.
GCUGCUUGGUCGCUCAAGUUGUCAACCGUACUGUCAGGCUUCUUGCUUUUAUAAUUAAUUAUUAUUCUGUCAGCAUCUGGUUUAUUUUUAAAUGGUGUAAACGUGCUUUGUCGUCGGUUGUUCCACAGGAUAUAUGUCAAACAAAGAGAAAACGCCAAUAUUCAGGGCUCCCAAGAAUGACACAAAUUUGGUCUUAUGGCAAAAAUCCAUCGCAAGGAUGGACCGAAAGUUUUCCAGAAAGGACUUUGUUUGUGCCAAACAUUUCAAAGAGUAAUAAAUAAUAAAAACAAGAACGAUAUUAAAUACAGCUCAUCCAUUGAAGGUUGGGAAGUUGGCAGCUGAUGUCAUUCCUACUCUUAACCUAAUUCGUAUCAAUCCUGUACCCACCAUUCAUAGAUGCUUAAGCCUGCUUGAGCGAUGCUUAGGUGCACGAUAUGUUUUCUUGUCUUUUUUUAAUUUUUAAAAAAAGAUCCUUUUGAAUCGAGAGUUGAGAUGAAUCGAGAGUUAAGAUGUGGGUAAUCUCAUCGUGUUCAUCAGGGAUAACUUUGAUAGCAUUAUUUUAAUCUUACUCUGCAUAUGACUGCUAAACCUCGUUGGCAUUAAUCCACUCCUCCUUAGGUGGUUCAAGUUCAAAAAUAAAAAAAAUUAAAAUUUUUAACAAGAAAUAUUUUUACUGAUUUUCCGAAUAGACUCUCUUUUACAAAUCGAACAAGAGCCCUUUUCCGGAUGAGAGUCGGCUGUGCCUACAGCAAAAAGAGAGUUUUCAAUAAAACCAAUGACAUCACAAUUUCAUCGCUUAAACAUCUCAAAGAAAAGUCAUAUCUUGCAUCAAUGGAAUAAAUACAUAAAAACGUACUCCUUCCUACGAAAAAUAUCGAUGGUAGCCUCAGACAUAGCGUGAUUGGAAUGCUUAAAACAAUCAGAUUUGAUUCAAAAUUAUUUCGUGUUGAAAACAUAAGAAACCUAAAAAGGACAUUGACACGCACGCAUAUACUGAGUAGCACGCUUGCCAUUAGAUCUUAAAUGG